GAGAGUAUAGCUCCGUGGUUAGAGCACAUGCUUAGCACCCAUGAGGUCCUGGGUUCAAUCCCCAGUACCUCCA
RNAcentral lists this transfer RNA (73 nucleotides) under Camelus bactrianus (Bactrian camel). It matches the Rfam family "tRNA". Rfam says of the family: Transfer RNA (tRNA) molecules are approximately 80 nucleotides in length. Their secondary structure includes four short double-helical elements and three loops (D, anti-codon, and T loops). RNAcentral also lists the same sequence under 2 other names. Lineage: Eukaryota; Metazoa; Chordata; Mammalia; Artiodactyla; Camelidae. The record is from Rfam by way of RNAcentral.